Molecule: ribosomal RNA, 498 nt
Filed under: uncultured bacterium
Lineage: Bacteria
Description: partial 16S ribosomal RNA
Rfam family: Bacterial small subunit ribosomal RNA
Source: RNAcentral
AUUGAACGCUGGCGGCAUGCCUUACACAUGCAAGUCGAACGGUAACAGGUCUUCGGAUGCUGACGAGUGGCGAACGGGUGAGUAAUACAUCGGAACGUGCCUAGUAGUGGGGGAUAACUACUCGAAAGAGUGGCUAAUACCGCAUGAGAUCUACGGAUGAAAGCAGGGGAUCGCAAGACCUUGUGCUACUAGCGCGGCCGAUGGCAGAUGAGGUAGUUGGUGGGAUAAAAGCUUACCAAGCCGACGAUCUGUAGCUGGUCUGAGAGGACGAUCAGCCACACUGGGACUGAGACACGGCCCAGACUCCUACGGGAGGCAGCAGUGGGGAAUUUUGGACAAUGGGCGCAAGCCUGAUCCAGCAAUGCCGCGUGCAGGAUGAAGGCCUUCGGGUUGUAAACUGCUUUUGUACGGAACGAAAAGCCCUGGGUUAAUACCCUGGGGUCAUGACGGUACCGUAAGAAUAAGCACCGGCUAACUACGUGCCAGCAGCAGCCGCCG